AGAGUUUGAUCAUGGCUCAGGACGAACGCUGGCGGCGUGCUUAACACAUGCAAGUCGAGCGGAAAGGCCCUUCGGGGUACUCGAGCGGCGAACGGGUGAGUAACACGUGAGUAACCUGCCUCUGGCUUUGGGAUAACCCUCGGAAACGGGGGCUAAUACCGAAUAUUCACUUUUCCCUGCAUGGGGUUUGGUGGAAAGUUUUUCGGCUGGAGAUGGGCUCGCGGCCUAUCAGCUUGUUGGUGGGGUAAUGGCCUACCAAGGCGACGACGGGUAGCCGGCCUGAGAGGGCGACCGGCCACACUGGGACUGAGACACGGCCCAGACUCCUACGGGAGGCAGCAGUGGGGAAUAUUGCACAAUGGGCGAAAGCCUGAUGCAGCGACGCCGCGUGAGGGAUGACGGCCUUCGGGUUGUAAACCUCUUUCAGCAGGGACGAAGCGUAAGUGACGGUACCUGCAGAAGAAGCGCCGGCCAACUACGUGCCAGCAGCCGCGGUAAGACGUAGGGCGCGAGCGUUGUCCGGAUUUAUUGGGCGUAAAGAGCUCGUAGGCGGCUUGUUGCGUCGGCUGUGAAAACCCGCGGCUUAACCGUGGGCUUGCAGCCGAUACGGGCAGGCUAGAGUUCGGUAGGGGAGACUGGAAUUCCUGGUGUAGCGGUGAAAUGCGCAGAUAUCAGGAGGAACACCGGUGGCGAAGGCGGGUCUCUGGGCCGAUACUGACGCUGAGGAGCGAAAGCGUGGGGAGCGGAACAGGAUUAGAUACCCCCGUAGUCC
Molecule: ribosomal RNA, 772 nt
Filed under: uncultured bacterium
Lineage: Bacteria
Description: bacterial SSU rRNA
Rfam family: Bacterial small subunit ribosomal RNA
Source: RNAcentral